GAUGAAGAACGUAGCGAAAUGCGAUAAGUAAUGUGAAUUGCAGAAUUCAGUGAAUCAUCGAAUCUUUGAACGCACAUUGCGCCCGCCAGUAUUCCGGCGGGCAUGCCUGUUCGAGCGUCAUUACAACCCUCAGGCCCCCGGGCCUGGCGUUGGGGAUCGGCGGAAGCCCCCUGCGGGCACAACGCCGUCCCCCAAAUACAGUGGCGGUCCCGCCGCAGCUUCCAUUGCGUAGUAGCUAACACCUCGCAACUGGAGAGCGGCGCGGCCACGCCGUAAAACACCCAACUUCUGAAUGUUGACCUCGAAUCAGGUAGGAAUACCCGCUGAACUUAAGCAUAUCAAUAAGCGGAGGA
This 353-nucleotide unclassified non-coding RNA is filed under the name soil metagenome. Its description in RNAcentral is "partial contains 5.8S ribosomal RNA, internal transcribed spacer 2, and large subunit ribosomal RNA". The stretch from base 1 to 120 matches the Rfam family "5.8S ribosomal RNA", at positions 35 to 154 of the family's 154-position model. The record is from RNAcentral.